GCAUAUCACUAAGCGGAGGAAAAGAAACUAACUAGGAUUCCCCCAGUAACUGCGAGUGAAGAGGGAAGAGCUCAUCAUUGGAAUCUGGCAGUGUUGCACUGUCCGAGUUGUAGAUGAGGAGUAGUCCGUCUGGACUGCAUGGCGUCCAAGUACAAUAGGCCGUCAGUGGGACAUCAUAGAGGGUGACAAUCCCGUCCUUGACGCCAAUGUGCAAGUCUAUUACGAUGGCUAUCUCAGAGAGUCGAGCAGUUUGGGAUUUGCUGCUUAAACAUGGGAGGUAGAUUCCUUCUAAAGCUAAAUACAGGCGAGAGACCGAUAGAGAACAAGUACCGCAAGGGAAAGAUGAAAUAGCACUCUGUGAAGGGAGUCAAAAGGCGUGAAAUUGUUGCGAGAGAAGCGAUUCAAGUCAGCGUAGCUAGGCCCAUCAAGCGUCUUCGCUUUGGACUAGCUUUGCCAGCGGUCUUGUCCCUUGAAGAGACUUGACUUGUAAUAUGUCCAGCCUGGCGUGCACAGGCAGCCCCUUCUGGGGGCCAGUGGCAUGGCUGGUGGAAUGGCUUGCAAUCGACCCGUCUUGAAACACGGACCAAGGAGUCUAACAUGUAUGCGAGUAUAAGGGUGGCAAACCCGUAUGCGCAAUGAAAGUGAUUUUCGGUGAUUGAGAAUGGCCUGAUGACCAGACAAGCAAUAUAUGUCCCUCGUACGGCCAUUGCCCAAGUUCCGUGGUAGAUCCCACGAACAUGGAGUUGGAGCAUACAUGCUAGGACCCGAAAGAUGGUGAACUAUGCCUGGACAAAGCGAAGCCAAAGGAAACUCUGGUGGAGGCUUGUAGCGAUUCUGACGUG
This 842-nucleotide ribosomal RNA is filed under the name Cantharellus anzutake. RNAcentral's name for it is "partial 28S rRNA". It matches the Rfam family "Eukaryotic large subunit ribosomal RNA", at positions 38 to 893 of the family's 3401-position model. The record is from RNAcentral. Lineage: Eukaryota; Fungi; Basidiomycota; Agaricomycetes; Cantharellales; Hydnaceae.